Molecule: non-coding RNA, 72 nt
Organism: Podarcis lilfordi (Lilford's wall lizard)
Lineage: Eukaryota; Metazoa; Chordata; Lepidosauria; Squamata; Lacertidae
Source: the annotation of a GenBank genome assembly
GCUGUGGCUGAAUGGUAAAACAUCUGCUGCUUUGCAUGCAGAAGAUCCCAGGUUCAAUCCCCAGCAUCUCCA